This 423-nucleotide ribosomal RNA is filed under the name uncultured bacterium. RNAcentral describes it as "bacterial SSU rRNA". It matches the Rfam family "Bacterial small subunit ribosomal RNA", at positions 207 to 622 of the family's 1533-position model. The record is from RNAcentral.
AAGACCUUGCACUUUUGGAGCGGCCGAUGCCUGAUUAGCUAGUUGGUGGGGUAAUGGCCUACCAAAGCUUCGAUCAGUAGCUGGUCUGAGAGGACGGCCAGCCACACUGGGACUGAGACGCGGCCCAGACUCCUACGGGAGGCAGCAGUGGGGAAUUUUGGACAAUGGGCGCAAGCCUGAUCCAGCCAUGCCGCGUGAGUGAAGAAGGCCUUCGGGUUGUAAAGCUCUUUCAGCCGGGAAGAAAAGGUUGCGACUAAUAAUCGCAAUCCAUGACGGUACCGAAAGAAGAAGCACCGGCUAACUACGUGCCAGCAGCCGCGGUAAUACGUAGGGUGCGAGCGUUAAUCGGAAUUACUGGGCGUAAAGGGUGCGCAGGCGGUUUUGUAAGUCAGAUGUGAAAUCCCCGGGCUUAACCUGGGAACU